This 301-nucleotide ribosomal RNA is filed under the name uncultured bacterium. RNAcentral's name for it is "partial 16S ribosomal RNA". It matches the Rfam family "Bacterial small subunit ribosomal RNA", at positions 509 to 807 of the family's 1533-position model. The record is from RNAcentral.
CAGUCGCCACGGGAAUACGUAGGGUGCAAGCGUUAUCCGGAUUUAUUGGGUUUAAAGGGAGCGUAGGCCGGAGAUUAAGUGUGCUGUGAAAUGUAGACGCUCAACGUCUGACUUGCAGCGCAUACUGGUUUCCUUGAGUACGCACAACGUUGGCGGAAUUCGUCGUGUAGCGGUGAAAUGCUUAGAUAUGACGAAGAACUCCGAUUGCGAAGGCAGCUGACGGGAGCGCAACUGACGCUUAAGCUCGAAGGUGCGGGUAUCAAACAGGUUUAGAUACCCGCGUAGUCCCUGUCUCUUAUAC